GGAAGGUUAGCUCAGGGGUAGAGCAUCGCACUCACACUGCGAGGGUCGCAAGUUCGAAACUUGCACUUUCCACCA
Molecule: transfer RNA, 75 nt
Filed under: Glaciimonas immobilis
Lineage: Bacteria; Pseudomonadati; Pseudomonadota; Betaproteobacteria; Burkholderiales; Oxalobacteraceae
Also listed under: 7 other names
Description: tRNA-Val
Rfam family: tRNA
About the family: Transfer RNA (tRNA) molecules are approximately 80 nucleotides in length.
Source: RNAcentral